GCAUAACAAUCUCAUGCAGAAGAAUAUAAAUCCAGGUACUGCAAGGUAGCCUUGACUCUUGAUUCUUUCAGAUAUCAUUGGUUCCGGAGGCUGCUCAGAGCAGGCACCAGAGAGAAUGAAGACUGUCCUACUAUGUGCUCUCUUAGGGAUCUUUACUAUGUUAAUGGCUGAAGAAAAAAAAAAGAGUUUUGAUUUAUCUGAGUGAUCGCAAGUGUGUUAAGAAUGAGUUUUUGUGUGAAUUAUCAGAGAAUCCAAAACAGUUUAUAGUUUCUGGUCGAAGCCUGUACAGAAUUAUUGAAGGUUAUAAGAUAUUAAAGAAAACCAGCGAACAAUUUGGGAUCUCCAAGAA
This 349-nucleotide long non-coding RNA is filed under the name Monodelphis domestica (gray short-tailed opossum). RNAcentral describes it as "lncRNA (ENSMODG00000031388.2)". The record is from RNAcentral. Lineage: Eukaryota; Metazoa; Chordata; Mammalia; Didelphimorphia; Didelphidae.